This 436-nucleotide long non-coding RNA is filed under the name Manihot esculenta (cassava). RNAcentral's name for it is "long non-coding RNA (MESC_LNC003334)". Lineage: Eukaryota; Viridiplantae; Streptophyta; Magnoliopsida; Malpighiales; Euphorbiaceae. The record is from RNAcentral.
AGAUCAAUUAUUUCAAAAGGGUGUUUUGCUACUUCUUCUCUCUCCCCUCAUUUAGAAGCUGAAUGCACCAUUAAUUUUGGUAAAUCCAUGGGUAUCGUCUGGGGAUGAAGGGCUCCUAAUUGAUGAUUUGGCUGAAAAAAUAUCCAAAGAUAUAGCUUGUUGCGUCAACUACGGUUGGAGUAGCUGUUCUGUUUCGAAUCUGAAAUUAGAUUUGGCAUUUAAAGUUUUUGGGGUUUGGCUAUUUUGGAAUGGGAUGAAGUGGUUGUUUUUGGUGUUUCUAGAGGUAUUUUUAUGUACGGAAUAUGGAUUUUAUAAGAGUUUCAUGUUGGGCCAAUUUCAGUUGUGGAUUAUGUUCCUCUGUUGCUUCUCUUCUUUGAAUCUUUUUUCUUUCCUUUAUACCAUUUAUGCACCUUGUGUCAAUCUAAUUAGUUAAGCC